This 522-nucleotide ribosomal RNA is filed under the name Brissopsis lyrifera. RNAcentral's name for it is "partial 16S ribosomal RNA". It matches the Rfam family "Bacterial large subunit ribosomal RNA", at positions 1816 to 2531 of the family's 2925-position model. Lineage: Eukaryota; Metazoa; Echinodermata; Echinoidea; Spatangoida; Brissidae. The record is from RNAcentral.
CGCCCUUUGAAUUAAUUAACAUAAAGGGUCCUGCCUGCCCAGUGACCAAAAGUUAAACGGCCGCGGUAUCUUGACCGUGCGAAGGUAGCAUAAUCACUUGUCUCCUAAAUAGAGACUGGUAUGAAUGGCAAGACGGAACUUUACUGUCUCUUUCUCUUCAAUUUGAAUUUCACAAUCCCGUGAAGAGGCGGGAAUUGUAUCGUAAGACGAGAAGACCCUGUCGAGCUGAAGUAAAGCCUUGACUUCUACUUACCCUUAACAAUGCCUAAUAGAAUGAGGAUAGUAAAGAAAUAGGGCGUAGAAGAUCAAGACGCACUUUGAUUGGGGCAAUCACGGAGAAAGAAAAUCCUCCGUUACUUAACAGUUUACAAUGUAUAACUUAACUUAAAAGAGCUAUUGCUCUAAAAUCGCGAAACGAAGGUAUGAUCCACUCAUAGUGAUCAAAAGAACAAGUUACCGCAGGGAUAACAGCGUUAUCUUUUCUAAGAGUUCAUAUUGACGAAAAGGUUUGCGACCUCGAUG